AAAUGAUUUAAAAAAUUUUAAGCCUUCUAUCAAUCAUUCACUCUUGUACCAAAUCAAGUAUGGACUAUGAAGAGAUUCUGAUCUAAUGAUAGCCCAUCAAGUCUUUUGGUGAGAGAGAUGAAGGGAGAAGGACUCUAAAAAUUAAAAGCUUGAAAAGAGAGAUUCAAUAGAGCAGGCUUCUAUUCAUGAUCUAGCUUCAUCGCAAACCCCAGAGGGAUUACUUAGCCAGAUAUAGUUGAAUUGAAGUCAAAAAAAAAUAAAGACUAAUUCUACUUACUGAAAUUGAACUUGCAGAAAUUAAAAAUUACAGAAUUAAAAGAUAUAGAAAUUUAAACUAUUAUAUUAUAGAAAUUAAAAUUAUAAAAAUUAAAUAGAAAGAAAAUAAUUAAUUUAUUACUGAAUAAAAAUUCUGAUGUAAAAAUUUUUAACUCCUAAGCCAUUAACAAGGCUUGGAGUUUGAACAGAAAAUAAAAUAAAAUUUUUUACAGAAUUAGACUUCUCUCCUUCUCUUGGCUUGGGAUCAAUCUUCCCUGGCUGACUCUCCUUCUCGUGUGUUGGAAGGAUGGAAGAAAGUGGGAAUAAGGUGGCUAAAAAGUUUUAAAGGUGGGUAUGUCUGCCUGUCAUACAGAUCUCCUACAAGAAUUAUAGAGUGGAGAGAGAUACUAUGAAUGGAGGCAUUAGGCUUUAUUUAUAGAUGUAGGUAGGGAGGAGGAUUUUAUAUUUUUCCAAUAUGGGACUAAAAAGAGAGGAUAGAUGAAUGAUUAGGAUUUAAUUUGGAAAGUACGGAUGGAUAGAUAGACAGUUGGUUAAAUAGGAA
This 817-nucleotide long non-coding RNA is filed under the name Elaeis guineensis (African oil palm). Its description in RNAcentral is "long non-coding RNA (EGUI_LNC005892)". The record is from RNAcentral. Lineage: Eukaryota; Viridiplantae; Streptophyta; Magnoliopsida; Arecales; Arecaceae.